This 397-nucleotide ribosomal RNA is filed under the name uncultured bacterium. RNAcentral describes it as "partial 16S ribosomal RNA". It matches the Rfam family "Bacterial small subunit ribosomal RNA", at positions 359 to 774 of the family's 1533-position model. The record is from RNAcentral.
GAUAUUGCACAAUGGGGGAAACCCUGAUGCAGCGACGCCGCGUGAGUGAAGGGGUAUUUCGGUAUGUAAAGCUCUUUCAGCAGGGAAGAAAAUGACGGUACCUGACUAAGAAGCCCUGGCUAACUACGUGCCAGCAGCCGCGGUAAUACGUAGGGGGCAAGCGUUAACCGGAUUUACUGGGUGUAACGGGAGCGUAGGUGGCGAGUCAAGUCAGAUGUGAAAGCCCGGGGCUCAACCCCGGGAUUGCAUUUGAAGCUGGUUUGCUAGAGUGCAGGAGAGGUAAGUGGAAUUCCUAGUGUAGCGGUGAAAUGCGUAGAUAUUAGGAGGAACACCAGUGGCGAAGGCGGCUUACUGGACUGUAACUGACACUGAGGCUCGAAAGCGUGGGGAGCAAACA